Molecule: ribosomal RNA, 589 nt
Filed under: uncultured bacterium
Lineage: Bacteria
Description: partial 16S ribosomal RNA
Rfam family: Bacterial small subunit ribosomal RNA
Source: RNAcentral
UGGGGAAUUUUGGACAAUGGGCGAAAGCCUGAUCCAGCAAUGCCGCGUGUAUGAAGAAGGCCUUCGGGUUGUAAAGCACUUUUGUCCGGAAAGAAAUCCUUGGCUCUAAUACAGUCGGGGGAUGACGGUACCGGAAGAAUAAGCACCGGCUAACUACGUGCCAGCAGCCGCGGUAAUACGUAGGGUGCAAGCGUUAAUCGGAAUUACUGGGCGUAAAGCGUGCGCAGGCGGUUUGCUAAGACCGAUGUGAAAUCCCCGGGCUCAACCUGGGAACUGCAUUGGUGACUGGCAGGCUAGAGUAUGGCAGAGGGGGGUAGAAUUCCACGUGUAGCAGUGAAAUGCGUAGAGAUGUGGAGGAAUACCGAUGGCGAAGGCAGCCCCCUGGGCCAAUACUGACGCUCAUGCACGAAAAGCGUGGGGGAGCAAAACAGGAUUAGAUACCCUGGUAGUCCACGCCCUAAAACGAUGUCAACUAGUUGUUGGGGAUUCAUUUCCUUAGUAACGUAGCUAACGCGUGAAGUUGACCGCCUGGGGAGUACGGUCGCAAGAUUAAAACUCAAAGGAAUUGACGGGGUCAUAGCUGUUUCCU